AAAGUUUUGAGUCAGUACUGUGAUCUUGACCAGGACACCUACCGAUUGAACAGAGGGCUAGGAGCAGUUUUGUCCCAGCAGGAUGCUAUUACAGGUGCAACCUCAAGAUCUGGUGAAGGAGCACUUGUGGGGGCCAUGAAUGCUGACUGGGAUCCAGGGCACUGGAAAGGUUUACAGGAGCAGGACCCCAUCUUGUGUAAGGUGAAACAGUAUGGGACCGAGGAAGGAAGCCAUCUGAAGAAAAGAGGCGUUGGGAGUCUAAAUGUGUGCGUAUAAAUGGGUUGUGGGUAUAAACACAGAAUACAACACCGCUGAAGUAAUGCUGAGUAAGGGCUGGGGGUGGAGAUCUGGCAGAGAGGUUUUCUGUUACUGAAAGCAAAUUUUGCAGAACUGGAACACAUAAAACAAUGCAACCAAGGGGACUGGUGGUGUGUUGUUUUGUUUUUUUUAUUUGUUUUGUUUUUUGAGGUACUAAGCACAUUUGGGCUACUUUUGUUUAGUUUAGGGGACGCAUUAUUUUAUGUGGCCUUCCCUUUCACAAAGAAACUUUGUGAAAGAGUUUUAGCAGGGGGCUUUGAGGGUGCAUUAGCUGGCUCUGAGGAGUCCUAUAUGGUCUUUAAGCUGGGGUCUCAAAAUCAAAUGAGCUGGGGGCCAUUGCUGGCACUGUCAUCUCAAUGGAGGGCCACUUUAGUGUUCAAGUAGUACAAAAAAACCAAACAAGAAAACUACAUUUAUAGCAAAAUGUAGUUUUCUUUUUUAUUUCAAAUAUUGCAUAAGACAAAACUUCAAAAUCUUUUUUUCCUCACUCUUAACUAACUGAAGCCUUUCAGUGAACUAACAAAUAAACAAAUUAGUACUUUCCUCAUGGCUAGACACGUCACAGCACUUCUGCUAUAAUUUUGUUUUGUAGUUAACAAAAUAAAAAUGCUGACAUAAGUGUACUUGUUAGUUUUUGACUGCUAGUGCAAAUAGUUUUCUUUACAUACAACUCUCUCCCACUUAACUAACACAGCCAAUCUCUCAACAUAUUUGUGCUUUCUGCUCAUAUUGCCUUCAUAUUUAAAUAAAAAAAAUUCUCAACAGAAGGAUACAUUUGUAUAAAGGUUUUUAACAGUUAGUGCAAGUAUUUUUUUUCCAAAAAUAAUAACUUAUUUUUGCAUUGCACUCAACAACAAACAAAUGCUCUCUAGCAAA
Long non-coding RNA from Oreochromis aureus, 1194 nucleotides. Lineage: Eukaryota; Metazoa; Chordata; Actinopteri; Cichliformes; Cichlidae. The record is from Ensembl.